This 1325-nucleotide ribosomal RNA is filed under the name metagenome. RNAcentral describes it as "bacterial LSU rRNA". It matches the Rfam family "Bacterial large subunit ribosomal RNA", at positions 1561 to 2925 of the family's 2925-position model. The record is from RNAcentral.
AGUGGAUGGGGAGCAACCUAGUUGUGCGUGUGUAAAGGUAGUGCCAAGAAAAGCGAUGAUCAUGUUGAAGAUCAAUUCCCGGUACCCGAAACCGACACAGGUGGGCAAGUAGAGAAUACUAAGGGGCGCGAGGUAACUCUCUCCAAGGAACUCGGCAAAAUGACCCCGUAACUUAGGGAGAAGGGGUGCCACCGAGAGGUGGUCGCAGUGAAGAGGCCCAGGCGACUGUUUAGCAAAAACAUAGGUCCCUGCAAACUCGAAAGAGGAGGUAUAGGGGCUGACGCCUGCCCAGUGCCGGAAGGUUAAAGAAGUUGGUCAGUUUUAGGAUGAAGCUAGCGACUGAAGCCCCGGUGAACGGCGGCCGUAACUAUAACGGUCCUAAGGUAGCGAAAUUCCUUGUCGGGUAAGUUCCGACCCGCACGAAAGGCGUAACGGUCUGGGCGCUGUCUCGGAGAGAGGCUCGGCGAAAUAGGAUUGUCUGUGAAGAUACGGACUACCUGCAUUUGGACAGAAAGACCCUAUGAAGCUUUACUAUAGCUUGGAAUUGUGUUCGGGCUUCCUGUGCGCAGGAUAGGUGGGGGGCGUAGAAGGUAUUCUUGUGGGGAUACUGGAGCCAACGGUGAGAUACCACUCUCAGGAGGCUAGAAUUCUAACUUAAUUAAGGACAGUUUCAGGUGGGUAGUUUGACUGGGGCGGUCGCCUCCAAAAAGGUAACGGAGGCGUACAAAGGUUCCCUCAGACUGGUUGGAAAUCAGUCGAAGAGUGCAAGGCAGAAGGGAGCUUGACUGCGAGAAGUACAGUUCGAGCAGGGUGGAAACACGGUCUUAGUGAUCCGACGGUGCUGUGUGGAAGGGCCGUCGCUCAACGGAUAAAAGUUACUCUAAGGAUAACAGGCUGAUCUCCCCCAAGAGUUCACAUCGACGGGGAGGUUUGGCACCUCGAUGUCGGCUCAUCGCAACCUGGGGCGGAAGUACGUCCCAAGGGUUGGGCUGUUCGCCCAUUAAAGCGGUACGUGAGCUGGGUUCAGAACGUCGUGAGACAGUUCGGUCCAUAUCCGAUGUAGGCGUGAGAAUAUUGAGAGGAGCCUUCCUUAGUACGAGAGGACCGGGAAGGACGCACCGCUGGUGUACCUGUUAUGAUGCCAAUUGUAAACGCAGGGUAGCCAAGUGCGGAGAGGAUAACCGCUGAAAGCAUCUAAGUGGGAAGCCCACCUCAAGAUGAGUAUUCUGGUGUAAGGUCACGGGAAGACGACCCGUAAAUAGGCACGAGGUGGAAGUGCAGAGAUGUAUGAAGCCGAAGUGUACUAAUAGACCGUCGGCUUGACC